UUAUUUUAUACAUAAAAACCAAAAAAAUUUAUUUAUUUACCUACCUUCAAUGAGAAAAAUAGUUUUAGAAGCCGUAAUAAGUGAAAACCAAGAAAAAGAAUUCAAAAUGUUUAAAAAUUCACAUAUAAGAAAUUAAACAAUUUUAUUAAUUACAGCUUUAUAAUAUGAAACCGUUAUGCCCAAGUACAUAUUUAAGAGUACAAAUUAUUAAUUUGUAAUGAGCAGCAAUAAUUCUUCCGAAAGUGAGCCCUGUAAUCGAGAUAGGUCUACCUACAGAAAAAGAUUCUAAUAAAAAAAUGAAAGUUAUAAUUUACAAUCCACAACAAGUAAAAAGGAGAAUUAGAAGAACAGUUCUUCUAUUAAAAGAGAAGAAAAAUGAGCACUUCUUGAAUUAAUGAAAGGACAACUAAAUUUGGAGAAAACUUAACGAAAUACAAAAUUAGAAAAAUCGAAAUAUGAUAAAAAUAGGCGUAAGUUGGUUUUGCUCGUAAAAAAAAAAGACCCAAUUUGCCAUAAAAAUAAUAAAUCCCAUUAUAAUCACAUAGCUAUAAAAGCUGUUUCAAAAAGAAUUGCAAAUGAAAUGAAGCUUUAAGGAAUUCAAUGUAAGAUAAUUUGAGAGAUCAUUAAAGAUUCUUUUGCUAAAGGAAAAGGAUUGCAACAAGAAACAUAUCUGAGAAUUUCAAUAAUUUUUUCAAUGGUGAAAAUAACGAAUAGCCAAUUAAAAAAUUUAAAAAAUGGAGUGACACCAUGCCAGCUUUAUUUCAAAUAAUCUUGAUAAUGAAGGUGAAGAUAUUGAAAUAGUUGAGUCACUUUUAGAGAAUUAGUUAAGUCUGAAUGUCAGUAAUUGCUGAAAUAGUUAAUAUACCAACAAAUAACAUUACAAGCAAAUAUAUUAAAUAUUUACGUAGCAGAAUAAAUGGUUUGAAUUUUAAGAAAGAUUUAACUGAGAUGAGAUCAAUAUUGCGAAAUUGAAAGUAAAGUUACUUUACAAUAGUAUGCAUAUAGGCCAAUUGAUUAAGCUGACCUUAAGUAUCCAGUAGACACCAGAGUUGUGUACCCCUUUAGGCUGGGAGGAAACUUGCACAUUUUUCAUAAAAUCAAAUAAAAAUUUCUGAAAAUGUUAAUUUCAAAAUAAAUAACA
Molecule: long non-coding RNA, 1141 nt
Organism: Condylostylus longicornis
Lineage: Eukaryota; Metazoa; Arthropoda; Insecta; Diptera; Dolichopodidae
Exons: 4
Source: RefSeq, a predicted model, not a curated record